UCGAGGAUCUUCGUCAAUGGGCGAAAGCCUGACGCAGCGACGCCGCGUGAGUGAUGAAGGCCUUCGGGUUGUAAAGCUCUGUGGGGAGAGAAGAAUAAGUGCGGGCUAAUACUCCGCAUGAUGACGGUAUCUCCUUAGCAAGCACCGGCUAACUCUGUGCCAGCAGCCGCGGUAAGACAGAGGGUGCAAACGUUGUUCGGAAUUACUGGGCGUAAAGCGAGUGUAGGCGGUUUGGUAAGUCGGAUGUGAAAGCCCCGGGCUCAACCCGGGAAGUGCACUCGAUACUGCCAAGCUAGAGUAUGGUAGAGGGUGGUGGAAUUUCCUGUGUAGCGGUGAAAUGCGUAGAUAUAGGAAGGAACACCAGUGGCGAAGGCGACCACCUGGACUGAUACUGACACUGAGGCACGAAAGCGUGGGGAGCAAACAGGAUUAGAUACCCCCGUAGUCCCUGAGCGGGCUGGCAAGGCGCAU
This 471-nucleotide ribosomal RNA is filed under the name uncultured bacterium. RNAcentral describes it as "bacterial SSU rRNA". It matches the Rfam family "Bacterial small subunit ribosomal RNA", at positions 355 to 825 of the family's 1533-position model. The record is from RNAcentral.